CGGUAUUAUUUGUUUAUCUGGCUAACUCAUCUACAUUUACCUUAUUAGCUGUCUGAUUUGUACUGUGAUUGGAGCAGACUUGUGGGGCAUUUUUCAUGGUCUCUCCAUUGCUUAGGAGAAGGGAUUCAAGAAGGUAGUGGUGGAAUGUGACAGUUCCCAAGCUGUCCAGCUGUUGAAUGAUGGCCAGGCUGCUUCUGAUAACUUGGCAUUGGUUAGAAAAUAUAGUCGAACUGCGCGGACGUGGUGGUGAUAUUUGCAUUGUCCUUCUCCCACGGACUGCCAAUCAAGUGGCGGGCAAAACAGGGGUUUAGCAUGGGUUUCGAGCUGCAAAUUUUUGUUUCCCCUCCUGCUGGUGCUUGGAAUAUGCUUUGUCAGGAUGUUUUGAGAUCUUGUUCUAUAUGGUAGACCAUGCAUGUACACCUGAGGAAGUUCACCAGCAAUUCCAAUCUUGUGGAACCGUGAACAGAGAUUUUGACAGACAAGUUUGGUCAACCUAAAGGAUUUGCCUAAUUUGAAUUUGUUGAAGUUGAUGCUGUCCAUCUCCCACAGACUGCCAAUCAAGUGGUUGACAUCAUUAUUUUGCGGCCUAGUUGGCUUGAAGCCUGGUUGCGCAUAGAAACUGUUUGAUAAAAUGCUUAAGAAAAGCUAUGUCUAUUGCUGCCUGACAUUGUUCAGCUCAGAAACUUGACAUAUUAAGUAGGCAAUUUUUUAGAAGAAAAAUCUUUAGGCUUUCAUUCUUGCUAAUACUUUGAUGACUGCAAACCCAUUCUUAAUAUCUAAACUGUUUAUAACAACAUAUCUAGGAGUUUUGUUUGGAUUGAAUUGAGGAAAAUGUUUUUCUAAUGUUUUCCUAACUUUGAAGAAAUUGGAUCGGAUUGGAUAAACACAGAAGCUCGUCCUGAAGAUCCAAUACUUAUCUUGAGCUCGUUGAAGAUAUUCUCUUAAAUAGUAGUCAUGCUGGUGGAGAUUGAGAUUGAUUGCAAUUGAUAAGAAAGUUUUGAUUCUUUAUAAAUUGAGGAGACUUAUAUA
Gossypium raimondii (Peruvian cotton) is the source of this 1029-nucleotide long non-coding RNA. RefSeq lists it as uncharacterized. NCBI's taxonomy places the organism in Eukaryota, Viridiplantae, Streptophyta, Magnoliopsida, Malvales, Malvaceae. The transcript has 2 exons. The record is from RefSeq and is a predicted model, not a curated record.